UUUACUUCUAGGUUCAGCUGCCUGCCAAGACGCCAGGUGACACUCGGGGCUCUCCAAGGCCACUCCUGCCAUUGUCUCCAGCUGGGGAGCCCAAGAAACCACACACGUGAGAUGCACAGUCUGAUAUGGCCGGCUCUGCCCCUCUGGGUUUUCCUCAUUGAGUAUGACUUCUCCAGUAUGACUAGCAAAUGAAGAAUCAUGCUGAAAUACUCUGUGGUGUAGCCCAAUCCUGCUCUUAACCAUGACCAUUACUGUAACUCAAACAAAACAUCCUGGAACUGGUCGCACCUUCACAACCUCAGUGAACUGCGUAGUCCCCUUGGUAAUCAUGAAUAUCUGGUAAAUGCUGUCAGUUCUAAAUGAAGCCAUGAUGCUGGGAUCCGUUAACAAAAUCCAAAGUGAAUUUGUCUUAAACACUUGCAAGUGGAUGGAGGAGAAUCUCUACAUUUCUAUGUGGAAUGUUCAGAUGGCAAAGCAACGGUUUCUGCAGUGAAACAAGUUUCAUACAAGGACACUGUCAGUACAGGUACCAGUACCACCAAUGUGCCAGAGAAGAAUGCAGUCAGGAUGGCGAGAAGUACAGUUUUACUUUCUCCCAUCCUGUCUUUGUUUCGCCACUAUUUUUCUUGUCCCCCUCCUCCUCCCCUCCUUAUUGCAAGAUGUCUGGCACCCUGCAUCUGGCAUGAAAUCUUACGGAUCCGCAUUUUCUACAGGGCUGCAACAACAGGUUUCAACUUGAUUUGCCAUCCCUGUGAAACAUGGAGUUUCAUUUGUUUGCUUCCGAGGACAAGAAGGGCUGUAGCUCUUAGUGCUGAAAAGGUGGAUCUUUAUGUUGGAUUGGAUGUUUCUAAAGAGAUGAAUUCAACUGUCACAUAUUAUUUAAGAAAAGUAUUUUUAUUGUAUGAUGUAUUGUGAAAGCACAUUCCACGUUUGCAUGUCAUUUCACCACUCUGUUGUUUUAAAGUUGCUAUGGGCCUUGAGAAUAUCCACUGGCAGAAAUUUGCACUUAGCAUUCUAAAAGGUGCUGAGAAUCAUGUCACCUGGGCAUCUGAUUUUACAAGGUGGGAAACUGAGGCUGGCAAAAAAGAAAGGGUUUGUUCAAGGUCAGAGCUGGUUAUGAUAACACUGGAAGAAUUCCCGAAUUGGGGGCCUCAGAUCAUUAGCAUAAUCCACAUGGUCUUCAGGAUUCAUUCAAUGCUCAUUUUAUUUUUUGCUAUAGCCAUUCUUUCUCAUGCACUUCUAUACCACAUCUACUUAUACUUAAAAACAGAUGGCGCUUAUAUGAAAUACUAUCUCUCUGGACUCACACAUAUUAUUAAUAUUUGAUUAUUUUACAGAAUUUUAUAAAAUGCUUUUCCUACUCUGACUAUUUUAAAUGACAUCAUAUGCCUUUGUAGAAUUUUGAAUUGGAGGAUAUUGUUUUUUGGCCACUUCACAUAUAUUAUGAGUUAUAUACAGGAAACUGAUUUUAAAGAGUGAUGGAUGGAUGGAUAGACAGCGUGGAUGGGUAAAUAAAUGAACACAUAGGCAUAUAUUUACAUAUGCACACAUACAUACCGUUUUAAUAAUAAAUGUAUUAUUUUGUACAGAGACCUGAUUGACAAAUGCUACACGUGUGCAUCUCGUUGAGCUCCUCAAGGCCAGAGGUGCCGCUCUCUUCACUGACUGCUGUGCCUGGUCCAGGCAGGACCUGCCACCAAGUCAGUGCUGAAAAUGUUGGCCAACAAAAACAUCUGCACUGUCGGAAGGACUAGAAGCUCCAGAACAAUGCCUGGGCUUCAAGAUCCAAUGGAACUUUGUCACA
This is a long non-coding RNA of Piliocolobus tephrosceles (Ugandan red Colobus), 1804 nucleotides long. RefSeq lists it as uncharacterized. The record is from RefSeq and is a predicted model, not a curated record. The transcript is spliced from 3 exons. NCBI's taxonomy places the organism in Eukaryota, Metazoa, Chordata, Mammalia, Primates, Cercopithecidae.